UACGGGGGGGGCAAGCGUUGUUCGGAAUUACUGGGCGUAAAGGGCUCGUAGGCGGCCAACUAAGUCAGACGUGAAAUCCCCAGGCUCAACCUGGGAACUGCGUCUGAUACUGGAUGGCUUGAAUCCGGGAGAGGGAUGCAGAAUUCCAGGUGUAGCGGUGAAAUGCGUAGAUAUGCGGAGGAACACCGAUGGCGAAGGCAAUCCCCUGGGCCUGCACUGACGCUCAUGCACGAAAGCGUGGGGAGCAAACAGG
This 253-nucleotide ribosomal RNA is filed under the name uncultured bacterium. Its description in RNAcentral is "partial 16S ribosomal RNA". It matches the Rfam family "Bacterial small subunit ribosomal RNA", at positions 524 to 776 of the family's 1533-position model. The record is from RNAcentral.